This 1879-nucleotide long non-coding RNA is filed under the name Salmo salar (Atlantic salmon). Its description in RNAcentral is "lncRNA (ENSSSAG00000108680.1)". Lineage: Eukaryota; Metazoa; Chordata; Actinopteri; Salmoniformes; Salmonidae. The record is from RNAcentral.
GUGCUUUCGUGAAUGCUUCCGUGUUGCUUGCCUUGAAGUGAGCAUGAAAGGCAUUUAGCUCGUCUGGUAGGCUCGCGUCACUGGGCAGCUCGCGUCUGGGUUUCCCUUUGUAGUCCGUAAUAGUUUUCAAGCCCUGCCACAUCUGAUGAGCACCCCAACAGAUCCACAGAUAAUGCACUCUCUAUUGCACUCCACACUGCCCUUUCCCACCUGGACAAAAGGAACACCUACGUGAAAAUGCUUUUCAUUAACUACAGAUCAGCGUUCAACACCAUAGUGCAGGGUUCCCCAACUGGCCACCCGUGGGUCAAAUGUAGUUUUCAGAUUUUUUUUUUUUAAAUGAUAAAAAUAUUUUAGGGUGAAUUUUCAUUGUUGGACAUAAGACUGUAAAAACACCAGAAAAUCAUCUCUAAUUAUGUUUGUCAAGUAUAUUGGUUUGAGCUGUUUGCGGUCAAUUUGCAGUCUACAAAUUAUUUGUAAUUAUGUUCAGGCCCCCGAUCAUCCAGUCUGGAUAUUUAUUUGUAUUGGCCCGCGGCUGAAUCUAGUUGAUGAUCCCUGCCAUAGUUUAGAGAUGAGCUUGGAGGGCACUAAGGACACUGGGAUGGAACACCUCCCUUUGGAACUGGAUCCUGGACUUCCUGACAGGCCGCCCCCAGGUGGUGAGGGUAGGCAACAAUACAUCUGCCUCGCUGACCCUCAAUACGGUUAGUCCCCUCCUGCACUCCCUGUUCAUCCACGACUGCGUGGCCAUGCACGGCUGCAACACCGUCAUUAAGUUUGCUGGCGACAGGACGGUGGUAGGUCUGACCACCGACAAUGAUUAGACAGGCUAUUGGGAGGAGGUCAGAGACCUGGCAACCUCUCCCUCAAUGUGAGCAAGAUAAAGGAGCUGAUCGUGGAAUACAGGAAAAGGAGGGCCGAGCACUCCCCCAUUCACAUAAACGGGGCUGUAGUGGAACAGGUCGAGCUCUUCAAGUUCCUUGGUAUCCACAUCACUUAGAACCUAUCGUGGUCCAAACAAACCAACACAGUCUUGAAGAGGGCACGACAACGCAUUUCCCCCUCAGGAGGCUGAAAAGAUUUGGAAAGGUAGCUCAGUUCCUCAAAACGUUCUACAGCUGUCGAGAGCAUCCUGACUGGUUGCAUCACUGCUUGGCACGGCAACUGCUCAGCAUCCGACAGCAAGGUACUACAGAGUGUAGUGCGUAUGGCCUAGUACAUCACUGGGGCUGAGCUUCCUGUCAUCCAGGACCUCUAUUCCAGGCGGUGUCAGAGGAAGGCCCUAAAGUCAUAGGCUGUUCUCUCUGCUACAGAAUGGCAAGCAGAACUGGGGGGCCAAGUCUGGGACUAAAAGACUCCUUAAUAAGGCUAGGCAUCCCGCUAGCGGGACACCUGUCGACAGCAUCCGGUGAAAUUGGAGGGUGCGCAAUUCAGAUAAAUAAUCGUAAUAUGAAACAUUUAUGAACAUACAAGUAUCUUAUAUCUUUUAAAAGCUUAAAUUCUUCUUAAUCUAACUGCAUUGUCCGAUUGUCACGUCCGGACCAUAGAAAGAUGUUAUUUUCUAUGGUAGGGUAGGUCAGGGCGUGACAGGUUUUUCUUCUUCUAUGUUUUCUAUUUCUAUGUUUAGGUUCUAGUUUUGUAUUUCUAUGUUGGGGUUUUGUUUGGGAUGAUCUCCAAUUAGAGGCAGCUGGUCCUCGUUGUCUCUAAUUGGAGAUCAUACUUAAGUAGGGGUUUUUCCACCUAGGUUUUGUGGGUGAUUAAUUUUGAGUUGUGUAUGUGUUCAUCUCUGCGUCACGGUUUGUUGUUUUUUCAUUCAGUGUAUUUAUGUAUUGUGUAGUUUCACAGUAUAAAUAAAAUGUGGAACGACACACACGCUGCA